CCUACGGUGUGCAGCAGUGGGGAAUAUUGCACAAUGGGGGGAACCCUGAUGCAGCGACGCCGCGUGAGUGAAGAAGUAUUUCGGUAUGUAAAGCUCUAUCAGCAGGGAAGAAAAUGACGGUACCUGACUAAGAAGCCCCGGCUAACUACGUGCCAGCAGCCGCGGUAAUACGUAGGGGGCAAGCGUUAUCCGGAUUUACUGGGUGUAAAGGGAGCGUAGACGGUUAUGCAAGUCUGAAGUGAAAGCCCAAGGCUCAACCAUGGGACUGCUUUGGAAACUGUAAAACUGGAGUGCAGGAGAGGUAAGCGGAAUUCCUAGUGUAGCGGUGAAAUGCGUAAAUAUAUGUAAGAACACCAGUGGCGAAGGCGGCUUGCUGGGUCGAUACUGACAUUGAGGCACGAAAGCGUGGGGAGCAAACAGGAUUAGAUACCCUGGUAGUC
RNAcentral lists this ribosomal RNA (440 nucleotides) under uncultured bacterium. RNAcentral describes it as "partial 16S ribosomal RNA". It matches the Rfam family "Bacterial small subunit ribosomal RNA", at positions 338 to 795 of the family's 1533-position model. The record is from RNAcentral.